GCGCGCNGGUGUCACGCAUCAGACCGC
Molecule: ribosomal RNA, 27 nt
Filed under: Papillaria flavolimbata
Lineage: Eukaryota; Viridiplantae; Streptophyta; Bryopsida; Hypnales; Meteoriaceae
Description: partial 26S ribosomal RNA
Source: RNAcentral